This 440-nucleotide ribosomal RNA is filed under the name uncultured bacterium. RNAcentral describes it as "partial 16S ribosomal RNA". It matches the Rfam family "Bacterial small subunit ribosomal RNA", at positions 338 to 795 of the family's 1533-position model. The record is from RNAcentral.
CCUACGGGAGGCUGCAGUGGGGAAUAUUGCACAAUGGGGGAAACCCUGAUGCAGCGACGCCGCGUGAGUGAAGAAGUAUUUCGGUACGUAAAGCUCUAUCAGCAGGGAAGAAAAUGACGGUACCUGACUAAGAAGCCCCGGCUAACUACGUGCCAGCAGCCGCGGUAAUACGUAGGGGGCAAGCGUUAUCCGGAUUUACUGGGUGUAAAGGGAGCGUAGACGGCAGCGCAAGUCUGGAGUGAAAUCCCAUGGCUUAACCAUGGAACUGCUUUGGAAACUGUGCAGCUAGAGUGCAGGAGAGGUAAGCGGAAUUCCUAGUGUAGCGGUGAAAUGCGUAGAUAGUAGGAGGAACACCAGUGGCGAAGGCGGCUUACUGGACUGUAACUGACGUUGAGGCUCGAAAGCGUGGGGAGCAAACAGGAUUAGAUACCCUGGUAGUC